Molecule: ribosomal RNA, 253 nt
Filed under: uncultured bacterium
Lineage: Bacteria
Description: partial 16S ribosomal RNA
Rfam family: Bacterial small subunit ribosomal RNA
Source: RNAcentral
UACGUAGGUGGCAGGCGUUAUCUGGAUUUAUUGGGCGUAAAGAGAACGCAGGCGGUCUUUUAAGUCUGAUGUGAAAGCCUUCGGCUUAACCGGAGUAGUGCAUUGGAAACUGGGAGACUUGAGUGCAGAAGAGGAGAGUGGAACUCCAUGUGUAGCGGUGAAAUGCGUAGAUAUAUGGAAGAACACCAGUGGCGAAAGCGGCUCUCUGGUCUGUAACUGACGCUGAGGUUCGAAAGCGUGGGUAGCAAACAGG